RNAcentral lists this ribosomal RNA (1416 nucleotides) under metagenome. RNAcentral describes it as "bacterial SSU rRNA". It matches the Rfam family "Bacterial small subunit ribosomal RNA". The record is from RNAcentral.
GGUGGCGAGUGGCGAACGGGUGAGUAAUGUAUCGGAACGUACCAUUCAGUGGGGGAUAACGUAGCGAAAGUUACGCUAAUACCGCGUAUUCUGCGCGCAGGAAAGCAGGGGAUCGCAAGACCUUGCGCUGAUUGAGCGGCCGAUAUCAGAUUAGCUAGUUGGUGAGGUAAAGGCUCACCAAGGCGACGAUCUGUAGCGGGUCUGAGAGGAUGAUCCGCCACACUGGAACUGAGACACGGUCCAGACUCCUACGGGAGGCAGCAGUGGGGAAUUUUGGACAAUGGGGGCAACCCUGAUCCAGCCAUGCCGCGUGAGUGAAGAAGGCCUUCGGGUUGUAAAGCUUUUUCGGCCGGGAAGAAAUCGUAUGGGUUAAUACCCUGUGCGGAUGACGGUACCGGCAUAAGAAGCACCGGCUAACUACGUGCCAGCAGCCGCGGUAAUACGUAGGGUGCGAGCGUUAAUCGGAAUUACUGGGCGUAAAGCGUGCGCAGGCGGUUUUGUAAGACAGGCGUGAAAUCCCCGGGCUCAACCUGGGAACUGCGCUUGUGACUGCAAGGCUAGAGUAUGGCAGAGGGGGGUGGAAUUCCACGUGUAGCAGUGAAAUGCGUAGAGAUGUGGAGGAACACCAAUGGCGAAGGCAGCCCCCUGGGCCAAUACUGACGCUCAUGCACGAAAGCGUGGGUAGCAAACAGGAUUAGAUACCCUGGUAGUCCACGCCCUAAACGAUGUCAACUAGGUGUUGGGUGGGUAAAACCAUUUAGUACCGGAGCUAACGCGUGAAGUUGACCGCCUGGGGAGUACGGCCGCAAGGUUAAAACUCAAAGGAAUUGACGGGGACCCGCACAAGCGGUGGAUGAUGUGGAUUAAUUCGAUGCAACGCGAAAAACCUUACCUACCCUUGACAUGUCCAGGAGCCUGAAGAGAUUUGGGUGUGCCCGAAAGGGAACUGGAACACAGGUGCUGCAUGGCUGUCGUCAGCUCGUGUCGUGAGAUGUUGGGUUAAGUCCCGCAACGAGCGCAACCCUUGUCGUUAAUUGCCAUCAUUCAGUUGGGCACUUUAACGAGACUGCCGGUGACAAACCGGAGGAAGGUGGGGAUGACGUCAAGUCCUCAUGGCCCUUAUGGGUAGGGCUUCACACGUCAUACAAUGGUCGGUACAAAGGGUCGCCAACCCGCGAGGGGGAGCCAAUCCCAGAAAGCCGAUCGUAGUCCGGAUCGUAGGCUGCAACUCGCCUGCGUGAAGUCGGAAUCGCUAGUAAUCGUGGAUCAGCAUGUCACGGUGAAUACGUUCCCGGGUCUUGUACACACCGCCCGUCACACCAUGGGAGCGGGUUCCGCCAGAAGUAGGUAGCCUAACCGCAAGGAGGGCGCUUACCACGGCGGGGUUCGUGACUGGGGUGAAGUCGUAACAAGGUA